UUUACUCAUCGUAGCUAUACUAUCAAUUGAUAGGUGCACUUGUCUUAGUCAAAAUUUUAGUUAGUUCACAAUGCAUAAAGUUUUUGGCAUUGCCCGAGAUUAAAAUAUUAGGAAAAUUUUAUUUCUAUUAAUUUAUCCAUUUUUCAUUUUUAUUUUAAUAUUUUGUUUAAUUUAAUGUUUACAUUCUAAUUUUUUGUUUGUUUGAUUCUAACAGGUUCUUUUGGUUUAUGACUAGAGGAAACUUGUUGAAACUAGUGGCGAAACUA
Molecule: long non-coding RNA, 266 nt
Filed under: Gossypium barbadense (sea-island cotton)
Lineage: Eukaryota; Viridiplantae; Streptophyta; Magnoliopsida; Malvales; Malvaceae
Description: long non-coding RNA (GBAR_LNC003230)
Source: RNAcentral